This 509-nucleotide ribosomal RNA is filed under the name uncultured bacterium. RNAcentral describes it as "bacterial SSU rRNA". It matches the Rfam family "Bacterial small subunit ribosomal RNA", at positions 17 to 518 of the family's 1533-position model. The record is from RNAcentral.
UUCUGGCUCAGGAUGAACGCUAGCGGCAGGCUUAACACAUGCAAGUCGAGGGGCAGCGGGAUGUAGCAAUACAUUGCCGGCGACCGGCGGAUGGGUGCGUAACGCGUAUGCAACCUACCUUAUACAGGGGAAUAACCUUUCGAAAGGGAGACUAACACCCCAUAGUAUUGAUUUAAGGCAUCUUAGAUUAAUUAAAUAUUUAUAGGUAUAAGAUGGGCAUGCGUAUGAUUAGCUAGUUGGUAAGGUAACGGCUUACCAAGGCGACGAUCAUUAGGGGUUCUGAGAGGAAGGUCCCCCACACUGGUACUGAGACACGGACCAGACUCCUACGGGAGGCAGCAGUGAGGAAUAUUGGUCAAUGGGCGCAAGCCUGAACCAGCCAUGCCGCGUGCAAGGAAGACGGCCUUAUGGGUUGUAAACUGCUUUUACAUAAGACUAACCGUAUAUUUGCGAAUAUACCUGAAUGUAUUAUGAGAAUAAGGAUCGGCUAACUCCGUGCCAGCCGCCGC